This 496-nucleotide ribosomal RNA is filed under the name uncultured bacterium. RNAcentral's name for it is "partial 16S ribosomal RNA". It matches the Rfam family "Bacterial small subunit ribosomal RNA", at positions 28 to 506 of the family's 1533-position model. The record is from RNAcentral.
GAUGAACGCUGGCGGCGUGCCUAAUACAUGCGAGUCGAGCGAACAGACGAGGAGCUUGCUCCUCUGACGUUAGCGGCGGACGGGUGAGUAACACGUGGAUAACCUACCUAUAAGACUGGGAUAACUUCGGGAAACCGGAGCUAAUACCGGAUAAUAUAUUGAACCGCAUGGUUCAAUAGUGAAAGACGGUUUUGCUGUCACUUAUAGAUGGAUCCGCGCCGCAUUAGCUAGUUGGUAAGGUAACGGCUUACCAAGGCAACGAUGCGUAGCCGACCUGAGAGGGUGAUCGGCCACACUGGAACUGAGACACGGUCCAGACUCCUACGGGAGGCAGCAGUAGGGAAUCUUCCGCAAUGGGCGAAAGCUUGACGGAGCAACGCCGCGUGAGUGAUGAAGGUCUUCGGAUCGUAAAACUCUGUUAUUAGGGAAGAACAAAUGUGUAAGUAACUAUGCACGUCUUGACGGUACCUAAUCAGAAAGCCACGGCUAACUACGU